RNAcentral lists this ribosomal RNA (202 nucleotides) under uncultured bacterium. RNAcentral describes it as "partial 16S ribosomal RNA". It matches the Rfam family "Bacterial small subunit ribosomal RNA", at positions 1299 to 1500 of the family's 1533-position model. The record is from RNAcentral.
UGUAGGCUGCAACUCGCCUACAUGAAGUUGGAAUCGCUAGUAAUCGCGAAUCAGAAUGUCGCGGUGAAUACGUUCCCGGGUCUUGUACACACCGCCCGUCACACCACGAGAGUUUACAACACCCGAAGUCAGUGGCCUAACCGCAAGGAGGGAGCUGCCUAAGGUGGGGUAGAUGAUUGGGGUGAAGUCGUAACAAGGUAUC